AGUGAACGCUGGCGGUAGGCCUAACACAUGCAAGUCGAACGGCAGCACAGUAAGAGCUUGCUCUUACGGGUGGCGAGUGGCGGACGGGUGAGGAAUACAUCGGAAUCUACUUUUUCGUGGGGGAUAACGUAGGGAAACUUACGCUAAUACCGCAUACGACCUACGGGUGAAAGCAGGGGAUCUUCGGACCUUGCGCGAUUGAAUGAGCCGAUGUCGGAUUAGCUAGUUGGCGGGGUAAAGGCCCACCAAGGCGACGAUCCGUAGCUGGUCUGAGAGGAUGAUCAGCCACACUGGAACUAAGACACGGUCCAGACUCCUACGGGAGGCAGCAGUGGGGAAUAUUGGACAAUGGGCGCAAGCCUGAUCCAGCCAUACCGCGUGGGUGAAGAAGGCCUUCGGGUUGUAAAGCCCUUUUGUUGGGAAAGAAAAGUAGCAGGUUAAUACCCCGCUGUUCUGACGGUACCCAAAGAAUAAGCACCGGCUAACUUCGUG
Molecule: ribosomal RNA, 492 nt
Filed under: uncultured bacterium
Lineage: Bacteria
Description: partial 16S ribosomal RNA
Rfam family: Bacterial small subunit ribosomal RNA
Source: RNAcentral